This 361-nucleotide ribosomal RNA is filed under the name uncultured bacterium. RNAcentral describes it as "bacterial SSU rRNA". It matches the Rfam family "Bacterial small subunit ribosomal RNA", at positions 151 to 525 of the family's 1533-position model. The record is from RNAcentral.
GGGAAACCGGGGCUAAUACCGGAUACGAGACUGCGAAGGCAUCUUCAGCAGCUGGAAAGAACUUCGGUCCGGGAUGGGCUCGCGGCCUAUCAGCUUGUUGGUGAGGUAACGGCUCACCAAGGCGUCGACGGGUAGCCGGCCUGAGAGGGUGACCGGCCACACUGGGACUGAGACACGGCCUAGACUCCUACGGGAGGCAGCAGUGGGGAAUAUUGCACAAUGGGCGCAAGCCUGAUGCAGCAACGCCGCGUGAGGGACGACGGCCUUCGGGUUGUAAACCUCUUUUAGCAGGGAAGAGGCGAAAGUGACGGUACCUGCAGAAAAAGCGCCGGCUAACUACGUGCCAGCAGCCGCGGUAAUA